GAUGAACGCUGGCGGCGUGCUUAACACAUGCAAGUCGAACGGAAAGGCCCAAGCUUGCUUGGGUACUCGAGUGGCGAACGGGUGAGUAACACGUGGGUGAUCUGCCCUGCACUUCGGGAUAAGCCUGGGAAACUGGGUCUAAUACCGGAUAGGACCACUUCUUGGAUGUUGUGGUGGAAAGUUUUUUCGGUGUGGGAUGAGCUCGCGGCCUAUCAGCUUGUUGGUGGGGUAAUGGCCUACCAAGGCGUCGACGGGUAGCCGGCCUGAGAGGGUGUACGGCCACAUUGGAGCGGAGAUACGGCCCAGCCUCCCACGGGAGGCAGCAGUGGGGAAUAUUGCACAAUGGGCGCCAGCCUGAUGCAGCGACGCUGCGUGGGGGAUGACGGCCUGCGGGCUGUAAACUCCUUUCGCUAGGGAAGAAGCGUUUUGUGACGGUACCUGGAGAAGAAGCACCGGCUAACUACGUG
This 467-nucleotide ribosomal RNA is filed under the name uncultured bacterium. RNAcentral describes it as "partial 16S ribosomal RNA". It matches the Rfam family "Bacterial small subunit ribosomal RNA", at positions 28 to 507 of the family's 1533-position model. The record is from RNAcentral.